AGUGAACGCUGGCGGUAGGCCUAACACAUGCAAGUCGAACGGCAGCACAGUAAGAGCUUGCUCUUACGGGUGGCGAGUGGCGGACGGGUGAGGAAUACAUCGGCAUCUACUUUUUCGUGGGGGAUAACGUAGGGAAACUUACGCUAAUACCGCAUACGACCUACGGGUGAAAGCAGGGGAUCUUCGUACCUUUCGCGAUUGAAUGAGCCGAUGUCGGAUUAGCUAGUUGGCGGGGUAAGGGCCCACCAAGGCGACGAUCCGUAGCUGGUCUGAGAGGAUGAUCAGCCACACUGGACCUGGGACACGGUCCAGACUCCUACGGGGGGCAGCAGUGGGGAAUAUUGGACAAUGGGCGCAAGCCUGCUCCAGCCAUACCGCGUGGGUGAAGAAGGCCUUCGGGUUGUAAAGCCCUUUUGUUGGGAAAGAAAAGCAGCAGGUUAAUACCCCGCUGUUCUGACGGUACCCAAAGAAUAAGCACCGGCUAACUUCGUG
This 492-nucleotide ribosomal RNA is filed under the name uncultured bacterium. Its description in RNAcentral is "partial 16S ribosomal RNA". It matches the Rfam family "Bacterial small subunit ribosomal RNA", at positions 29 to 507 of the family's 1533-position model. The record is from RNAcentral.